RNAcentral lists this ribosomal RNA (293 nucleotides) under Enterobacter cloacae. RNAcentral's name for it is "partial 23S ribosomal RNA". It matches the Rfam family "Bacterial large subunit ribosomal RNA", at positions 1025 to 1317 of the family's 2925-position model. Lineage: Bacteria; Pseudomonadati; Pseudomonadota; Gammaproteobacteria; Enterobacterales; Enterobacteriaceae. The record is from RNAcentral.
ACCCAGACCGCCAGCUAAGGUCCCAAAGUCAUGGUUAAGUGGGAAACGAUGUGGGAAGGCCCAGACAGCCAGGAUGUUGGCUUAGAAGCAGCCAUCAUUAAAGAAAGCGUAAUAGCUCACUGGUCGAGUCGGCCUGCGCGGAAGAUGUAACGGGGCUAAACCAUGCACCGAAGCUGCGGCAGCGACGCUUAUGCGUUGUUGGGUAGGGGAGCGUUCUGUAAGCCGUUGAAGGUGGCCUGUGAGGGUUGCUGGAGGUAUCAGAAGUGCGAAUGCUGACAUAAGUAACGAUAAAG